UUGUAUGUAUUUUGGGUAGUCUCCGUCGGACCUGUCGACGGAGACUACCCGAGGUACAUUAAAUUGAAGCAUAUGAAGUCGUAAUUUGAGAUUUGAUAUAUGUCCAACGGAGACUACCCAAGGUACAUUAAUUGAAGCAUAUACAGGCAUGAUUUGAGAUUUGAUAUAUGCAGUAGUUAAUUGAGAUGCGGAUGUACUGUUUCCAAAAAAUCUUAUUGCGGACAGGCAUUACUUUGUGUUUUUCAUCCUUACAUAUCUCGCAUUUAAGAUUAAGCUUCUUCAAUCCGUGCUGCAUAAUGCUGUGGAGGAUUGAUAAUAUUGUUGUUGCGUAUCUGUGAUGUAGCUUCAUAAUAUCAAAAGAUUCAUAUUCUGCAUCCACAUCACUUUGUAUCUUUCAUCCUUACAUAACUCUCAUUUGCGCUUUACCUUCUUAAAUCUGUUGUGCUUAUAUCUGUGGAGAAUUAUGUGUAUUGCUGCUGCAUUUUCAUGAUUUAGCUUCCUAAUUCCGUGAUUGAGCUUUGUUUCUCAAUUAUUCAUAUUCUGCAUCCCCAUUAGUCUGUGUUUCUCGUCCUAUCAUCCUUUUAUGGAGCACUGAACCUGAAGUAGUAAUGAUACAUAUAGUCACUAAUAGAAGAUUUUGGCGACUCAUGAUUCCCUAAGGGAUUGAUACGUAUAUUAUACAGUAGUAAGUUGAUUAUCUAGCUGACUUAAGUAUGGAGAUCUAUCGUUUCUGACUUUCCUAUCAUCCUAAGGCGAGUAUAUCCGAACCUGUUCUUGAUUGUGUUUGAAGGCAAUCUGACUGUUGGGUUGCUGGUCAUUUGCAUGUUAGUAUAAAACUGAACCAUUUAUGUGCAGAAGCUCUGUGAAUUUUGGUUGAGGGGGUUAGGCUGGUCUUUAAUUUUGGCUUCCUCUUUUAACUCUUUUAGUUUGUUAUCUUCUACCAUAAAACCUUUAAGGAAGAUUGAACAGAUAUCAUUGAUGUGUGUGAGGACACCAAUUUUGCUAACAAUAUGAUAUAUGUGGAAUUAUUUUGGAAAUUCUUUUAUUUCUGAUUCAACGCAUUUAUUUCAUCAAUGCUCUUACUUUGAAUUACAGACGCCAGUUCAUAUUGUCCUUUACUAUCUGGUUUGGCUGUUGUAAUCAGUUGAUCAAUGUUCAGUCAAUUGCUAACAUAUAUACUUGUUCUUCGUCUGAGAUCACAGAACCUACAUGUAGAGUGGGAAGUUCUUGCAGAGCCAAUUUCAGUUAAAUGUUACACUGUACUGUUUCUCUCAAUUAUUAGCUUUUAUAUCACUAUAUGUCAUAAAUGUAUACUCAGUCUUACAAGAAAUAAUAACCUAGUAUGCUGGCUACUUUUCUUGCAUCUAUUUGUUUCUACAAUCUUGACAAUGUCAUUUAUGUAAGGCACUCUAAUAGAAAGAUGAUAUACAUUGCUUUGACUUGUAAAGGAGUCAAUUGUGGGUGGCCACUGGCCAGUUCCACCAUAUUCAGGUUAUAAUAUAUUUAUAUGCAUGUAUACAAUCUUCUGAGUUGGAUUGUUGCUGAGCAGAAAUAAAUACUGUAAUGCUAGGGUUGAAGCAAGAAACAAGGUCUUGCCCUGUAAAGUUGCCACUCAUUGAUUCAAUGAUCCUAGACUUGUUUAUGUAUCUCUUGUUUCAUAAUUAUGUCAUGUAUGGAAUGAACAAAUGUGCCGUUGUUGGGAGAUGAGGUGGGAGCUUCUCAGGCAACUUUUUCUGUCUUAAAAUCCUUUCUGAUGCAUGAUUGAACAAAAACCAUUUUCUCGUUGACUAAUUAAUCUUAUUUUUCUUGUUUGAGCUGCUGUUUAUGAGGUUUAUUAGGAUGCUGCAAGCCAGCAGGCUUUCAGGUCUGAUGGAAAUUCCAGAUGUAUACAGUAAUCUUGUCAAGGUGCAUCACUAGUGCUUUUAUGGCCUAGGUGGCUGAGAUUAUAAUCUCAGUUUUAUAGAUUCUGAAAAUGUAGAAAACUGCCAGUAUGUUCUUUUAACGAGGGAGAGGAACUCAAAUCGUUCUUUGCAUAGUUUUAGCUUCCACAUGUCUGAAGUAGUAUGUUGUAGCUCUAAACACAUUAACUUUGUCCUAUGAUCACCUUUCAAGACUAGCAACUGAAGCUUAACUUUCCACUACGGGAGAUAAAGAUCAUGUGCUUUAAAGUGAGCCAAUGGUCAGGGUUGCAAAGUAAAAAUUGCUAAUCAUUUUAGCAUGCAUCAUUAUCAGUUUGUCACAAUCAUGGCCACAAAGUAAGAAUUCCCAUUUCAAUUUAUUAUGCAUCACUUGCACCAAUCGCUAUUUUGGUCAUGAAGUGACAAUGCUGAUUCCUUUUAUGAUACUUCAUAGUCGUAUUUGUGAAUAUUCUGCUACAACUACAGGUAACAGAUGAUCAUUAUUUCAUCGGUGCAGUUGGUAUCCUCUCAUUUCAAAGGUCACUCUAGCAGGCUGGUCGAUUUGAUAUUGGCUCUCACCAAAAGUCUGAUUGAAUGUGAUGUUAACUGCUCAAAGAGAUAGCACCAGCCUCUUAGCCUUGCACUAAGAUCAGAGGCGGAGACGAGACUUGUACACGUUUAGUAGUAGCAACAUCCCACAUGAAGCUGGCCGGCAGGAACAAGACAAGAGCAAUAAUAAUUGAAGAUUUGGAGUGAAUAAUGAAUCACUUUAUGGUAUGUACACUUAUUUGUGGGCAAUGAUAAAAGCAAUAUAUAAAAUUUCCAGUGCAAAGCCAUUUCCAGAUUGUCAGUGUUUGAGUCCCACAAAAAGAUGAAACUUUCAUACUCACCUUCAAAAGUGAUCUCUGCCAUGAUGCUUUCUGAACAUCUUCUAAAAUGGUUGAAAUUAAUGAAUCAAUCUCUCUCUUGAAACUUA
Salvia splendens (bonfire salvia) is the source of this 2874-nucleotide long non-coding RNA. RefSeq lists it as uncharacterized. Lineage: Eukaryota; Viridiplantae; Streptophyta; Magnoliopsida; Lamiales; Lamiaceae. The record is from RefSeq and is a predicted model, not a curated record. The transcript has 2 exons.